Molecule: ribosomal RNA, 257 nt
Filed under: uncultured bacterium
Lineage: Bacteria
Description: partial small subunit ribosomal RNA
Rfam family: Bacterial small subunit ribosomal RNA
Source: RNAcentral
AGGACGAACGCUGGCGGCGUGCUUAACACAUGCAAGUCGAGCGGUAAGGCCUCUUCGGGGGUACACGAGCGGCGAACGGGUGAGUAACACGUGGGUGACCUGCCCUCAGCUCUGGGAUAAGCCUGGGAAACUGGGUCUAAUACUGGAUAUGACUGCGCAUCGCAUGGUGUGUGGUGGAAAGUUUUUUCGGCUGGGGAUGGGCCCGCGGCCUAUCAGCUUGUUGGUGUGGUAACGGCUCACCAAGGCUCCGAUCGGUA